UAGGUGAGAGCUCCUUGUUUGUUAGGGGGA
This 30-nucleotide non-coding RNA is filed under the name Rattus norvegicus (Norway rat). The record is from RNAcentral. Lineage: Eukaryota; Metazoa; Chordata; Mammalia; Rodentia; Muridae.